UUCAAGUGAUAAGUGCAUACCGACACAAAAGGCACGAGGUGCUGAUGAUCGCAGUGACUCAGAGUAUGAACCAGAUGCUGAAGAGGAGGCCCUUGCAAAGGAAGAGGAUUUGAGAGAUGAAGAGGAGGUCGCUCUUGCUAAGUCCAAAGCAAUGAGUAACUUUGAGAUGGAAAAGAAUGACAAGGUUGGGAAUGAUGUAUGCACAAAAGUAAUGCAGAAGGGUGUUCGACAACAACGCUACAAGCUAAAGAAGAAAUACUUCAAUGGUUAUACUGAGUGAGUUUUUCAAACAAACCCGUACAAACAGCAAUACUGGUAGCAUGAGCGAGCCGACACUUCUAGCUCCUAAUGCGAUGGAAAAGAAAAGGGAAACACAAUCAGAAGGUGAGAAGCCAUUAUCGGACACAGCUACUGUGGCUGAAGUUCUAAAGGAAGAAAGCGCCCAUAGCACCUUCCUUUCCAGCAUGGGGUAUGCAUAAGACCCGGGAGGUCUGGGAGCUCUACUUCAUCAGCCCAGAUCCAAGUUCUAGAAGAAAGAAUUUGAACAAAAGAAUAGAGAGGCAAGAGAUGCAAAUGACAGGCAUCUGGAGGAGUUAGCCGCAAGACUUAAAGCACAAGAGAGAGCAUUUGAAGAGAUACAAAAGAAGCAGCAAGAAGAAUUGGAAGCUCUUAAGAAGAUCCCACAAGAGAAGAAUAAAGCCUGUGCAAAGAAGCAAAAGGAGACGGAUAAUCUGCUUGAUUUUCUCUUGACGGCUCAAGCAACUCAACAAGCAACUCUGCACUUGAUGGUUCAUGAAUGCCAUCCCUACAUUGCAAUCAUUAGGAAAACAUGUGUGGUCUUUAAUUACUAUUAGUUUUCAUCUUGUCUAUUGUCUGUAUCAAACUUGAGUCAGUUUUUCACCAUCAUUUUUGUUUACAGAAUGAUUUGGCUUAGACGAUUUCAUAUAUAAUAUGAUUUGUCUUUUAUAUCAAUUUAUGAUGUGAAUUUUC
Triticum dicoccoides is the source of this 990-nucleotide long non-coding RNA. RefSeq lists it as uncharacterized. The transcript is spliced from 4 exons. The record is from RefSeq and is a predicted model, not a curated record. NCBI's taxonomy places the organism in Eukaryota, Viridiplantae, Streptophyta, Magnoliopsida, Poales, Poaceae.